Non-coding RNA from Pseudopodoces humilis (Tibetan ground-tit), 217 nucleotides. The record is from RefSeq and is a predicted model, not a curated record. Lineage: Eukaryota; Metazoa; Chordata; Aves; Passeriformes; Paridae.
CGGGCGGCGAGCGGCGCUCGGUGGGGGCGACCCCGGCGGGGACGCGACGCAGCUCCAAGCGCUCGGUGGUCUCGGCCCCCCGGCGGGGCCCGCCCUGGACAUCCCUGUCCCGCAGCCUCCUGGGCAGCUCCGACUUUGACCGACCCCGACGGAGCCCACGGCUCCAGAGCCACAAGGAGAACGACCCCUCCCCUGUCCCCCCCUCUGCCAUCUCCCC